UAUGAGGUAUAGCUGUAACUCCCCGGACGG
Molecule: non-coding RNA, 30 nt
Filed under: Mus musculus (house mouse)
Lineage: Eukaryota; Metazoa; Chordata; Mammalia; Rodentia; Muridae
Source: RNAcentral